This is a long non-coding RNA of Acanthochromis polyacanthus (spiny chromis), 889 nucleotides long. RefSeq lists it as uncharacterized. The record is from RefSeq and is a predicted model, not a curated record. NCBI's taxonomy places the organism in Eukaryota, Metazoa, Chordata, Actinopteri, Pomacentridae. The transcript has 3 exons.
GUGGAGGGCUACCAAAAGUGACAAGUUGAGGUGAAAAUGGCCAAAGGAUGUUUAACCAGAUAUUCACAUUGCUGUAUGUAUAUUUUUGACCAAGUAGAUGUGGUCAUAUUUCCAGAAAGCCUAUAAUAAAUCUAUGAAUGAACCAAAUGCAUAUUUUUUAUGAGAAAGAUGCAUGUGUUUCAAUGUUUCCAUCACAGAAAAUAUAGAGUUAUAGGAGUCACUGGAAACUUAGCUGCCAUGAUACAUAUGGUCUUCACAAGUGUAUGAAGCUUUUGUUCCAAACUGCAUAUUUUGGGUGGGUGUUAAAAUUUCCCAGCAGACCUUGAACAUCUCCUGUCACUAUUGGUGUGACCGGAAGCAGGUGUGACUGUUAGAAUCAGCCAAUCAGGGCCAAGAAUGUUUGGACACAACCAGGAGGGAAAACACAGAUGCAGGUGAGAAACAGAAAGCUCUUAAACAUGGUUUUUAACUUCAUUAAACCGUGCUCAGUUGUAUUUAAUAUAAGUAUGAGCCAGAGCUUUUAUUGAAGUGUUGCUGCUGCUGCCGCUACUGAAAGCUGCUUUUUUACACAGAGAACAAGCCUGAGGAUAGAUUUUCUUCAUAGCUCGGCUAACCAAUGCACAGAGGUUUAGAAGGGACUGUUAGUAACAGCUUCCUGCAUUUCCAAGGAGCAAGACCCUCUCACUCUGCAUAAUGAACUCCAUGAGAUCUUCCAGGAAUGAUGAUGGCAUCUUCCAUGAGAACAUAACCUUCUCUGGAGCCAAACUUACUAUGAUGAUGGACCCAGGACUAAAUUCGAGAGCCUUACCUCAUAGUCUAUUUUAAACUUUUGGACGACACCAAGUUCCAGAAACAUCCUGAGCGAUGCGGUGAUCAUUGCGUCAUUGUC